AUGAUCACACUCAACUGGCACCCUUGCUUCUCGGAACCCAGAAAAAAUUUCAGUCCAGGAGCUUGCGGCCGGCAUGAGCUCCACCAAGGCCGGCCGGGUCUGCGGGAGGUCGGGUGCCCAGAGGGGCGGGGCGCAACCUGCCGGCCCCCUGGGCUGGGCCGAGAGAGGAGUAGCCGCCGCGGAGGCGCUCGGGUGAGACACUCACGGGGUGGUGUGGCCCGAGCCGGGCGCGAGGAUGCAGGCUCCCGGCUUGUGAAGGAACAUGCGAACCACCUGGCGAUCAACAAGGCCGGUCUGAGUUUUAAAAGAUCACACUGCUGUCAGGCAUGGUGGUGCACAACUGUAAUCUCGAAACUCAGGAGGCUGAAGCAGGAGAAUUGCAUAGUGCAUUCAAGAGAGAUUGGGCUACAUAGCAAGACCCUGUCUCAAAAAACACGAACCAAGGUCAGGAAUUUAGCUCAGUGGUGCUGCCACCUGCCCUGCAAGUGCAAGGUCCUGAGUUUGAUCCCCGGUUUAAAAAAAAAUCAAUUGUGGUCAAAUACACACAAGGUAUGACUUACCAUUCCAGCCCUGUUUGAGUGUUCAGCAUAUAGAAAUUCACACUGUUAUGCAACCAUCUCCACCAUCUCCACACCCAUUAAAUACUAACUCUUCAUUCUGUUUCUCAAACCCCUGGCCACCCCAUUCCAUUUUUCCUUUCUAGGACCUUGAGCGUUCUAGGCACAGAAGUCUCUCAGUCUCUAUUCACGGGGGACUAGUUUCUGGAUGCACCAUGGGUAACAGUAUUCCCUGGAUGCUCAAGAUGCUUGUAUGAAACACCACAGCGUUUGCAUAGAACCUACUCACACCCUCCCAUGUACAGGUUACAUCAUCUCGGGUUACUGAUGCUAAUACAGCUAAUAUAAUGCAAGCACUAUGGAAACAGUUGUUAUACUGUAUUAUUCAGGAAUAAUGACAAGAAAAAGACCUGUGUACGUUCAGCACAGAUGCCAUGUUUUUGUUUUUGUUUUUUUACUGAAUAGUUUUUAUCCCUGGUUGGUUGAAUCAGGAAAUAUGGAACCCGUGGGUACAAAGGGCUGACUACGCCUCAUAUACGUGGAAUCAUCCAGUGUUUCUCUUUUUCUUUUUUCCUCCCUCCCCCUUCCCUUCCUUUUUCCUUCCUCUUUCUCUCUUUUCUUUACAAUACUGGAGAUUGAACCCAGGGCUUUGGCCUUGAGCUACAUCUCCAGCCUUUUUUGUGGUUGUUGGUAUUUUGAAACAAGGUUUCACCAAGUUACUACAUUGUGCAGGUGGGCCUUUUGUAACCCUCCUGUCUCAGCCUUCCAAAGUGCUGGAAUUAUAGGCACGUGCCACCAUAACCUUGUAUUUGUCUUUUUUGUCCACUACAAAACAUCCUCAAAGUUCAUUUGAAUUUUUUUUUUAACUAUGAGUUAUGCUACUUUUUAGUUAAAAAGUCGUUAGAUGUCCAAAAACAAAAUCGCAACAUUAUAUACUUAAUAAGUUCAGGGAAAAUGUAACAGUCAAAACCUUGUUUAAAUUAUCACAGUUAUUUAACAGUUUAUUUAAACAUUUAAAAAUCAUUUUCAAAAAACUCAAUGAAAAUGACUGGAAGUUUGAAAUGAUAAAGAUGCUUAUUUCUCACUGGGUGCUUUGGCAGCCCAGGCCCAGCAACCUAGUGUCUUAAGGAGACCCUGUUUUAAAAUUUGUGUGUAUAUCUGUGUGUGUCGUAUUUUGAGAUACGGUCUCAUUACAUAGCCUGAACUGACCUCAAACUCAUAGCGAUCCUCCUGCCUUAGCCUCCAAAGCACUGGCAGUUCAGACGUGCACUGCCUCACCCCACUUCCGUCCAUGUACUGAGUUCCAGACCAACCUGAACCACGUAAGGAGACCCUGUCUUUUCACCUGUAAGUUGUUCCUCCUCUAUCGCCAAGGAAGCAGCUGUAUUGGUGGGCAGCAGAUCCACUUCAAAUGCACAUAGCUUGCAUUGUAGCCUGACAAUAAAGAUACCCAUCUAGAUCACCUAUCUUGAAGACACCCCUUAAAUCUACCCAACUCCAGCUUAUUUCUCGGAGCACUUGCACUCCAUCCGUGAGUAUCUGUGUAAUGAACCCUUUUCUUGGCUCCUACUGGUGCUUCCUAAACAUUCUUUUUCCACCACAGGAAUCAGUGAACCUGCAAAGCUUCUUCUAUAGAAAGUGUGGGCUCUUUAUUUCAGCCUUGGGGACCCUCGGGUGCAGCCUGGUGACAAGUGUAUCCAAGGGAACAGAGGUAGGACUUUGGUCACUCACUGGGUCAUUGCUCUGGGACUGAGGCACCCAGAAGGAUGGGCUCCCACAGGCUGUCCCUGUACCCCCCUCUGAGGCCCCCAAGAGAAUAUCCCUAGGUUGAAGGUGAAGCAGGCUGUUGCUAAGGAACCUUUCACCAUCACCCUGGGGAGGGACACGGACGGCAGAGAAGAGGGGCAGAAAUAAUAGAUACAAACAGGUUGCUUGAAUUUCCAAAGACCCAGCUGUGUCAGUGCUAGCUCCGGAGUCAGGCAGGAGCCCCCAUCUGUUCCCUCCUCCCAGAGUGAUCACAAUGACACGCUGGGGGUGCAGCUCAGGGAAGGAGCCCUUGCCUAGCAUCAUGAGGCCCCUAUAAAACAAAAGAAGAAAAUGGUGCAGCCUCAGACCUGAGCCCAAAUGCUGAAUCCAUUUAUUUGCUUUGCAACGUAGCCUCUUGGAGCCAUCUACAAAUGGAAAAGAUAACACCUACUUCUCAGGGGUGUGAAGAAGGCUGGAUAAACUAAAGGAUAUAAAGUACUUAGCCCAGAGGAGGAAAUAAAACAAAACAAAACAAAAAAACGACAGCAGCACUGACCAGGACAAGGCUGGGAUUUAGGAGCCCAGGAGCCCGUGGCACCCCAAACGAUAGAUUCCAAAACUGUGCUCUAAAUCUGCAAAGGCCUGAGCUGACUCCCCGUAGAUACACCACACCCUUUAACCUUCCAACAGUCCUGGGAGAGGGGCUAGGGUGGCAGGAGGCUCCUCCCUUGCCAGGGACCCCAUGAGACCCAGCUCAGUCUAGGCAGAGGCUUUCUACAGUGCAGAGCAGCUUGAGGCAGGGCAAGGCCUUUUCUAACACCCGGCUCACCAGACAGAGUGGGUGGCGGGGCUCACGGCAGAGGCCGCGUCUGCUUCCUGGGACCCCCAGAGCACCUGGACCCAUGGCCGCUCAGCCCUGAAGCCUUUCUCUCUGUGAUGAGAUUGGAACUGAGGUAGAAGAAGCAAGGAGGUAGAGAGGAAACAAGGAAAAUAGGAAUUUUAGAAUCGCACUUUAAAAAAUAGGGCCAGGGAUGUAGCUCAGUGGCACCAUGCCUGCCUUGCAAGUGCAAGGCCCUGAGUCCAAUCCCUGGUACCAGUAAAUCAAUCAAUAAAAUUUUUAAAAAUAAAAUUUUAAGAAAAUUUCAGCUUCGGGACAUAAUCAAAGGUACACAAGGUUACAGUGCCUUUUUUCCGCAGUGGGUGUCUUGUUCUCCAGGAUCCCCACUCCUAAAUCCCUAAGUAUUAAAGAUAUAAUACAUCUGCAACCUGGGCUAUGGUUUUCUUCCGGUGCCAUAAAUUCACGCAUUGCAAAGAUUUCCUCUCUCAAAAGAAUUCUCCACCAUAUCUCUCAACUUCAAACAUACAAAGUUCACAUUUCAUUUAAUCUUACUCGAUAAAGCCAGUUUUUGGUUCAGCCCACUAAUGAGCAACCUGACCUUAAGGAGAUGGACACAAGAUAAGUAAGUUUAGAAACAGAAAAGAAAUUUUAAAAAGGAAAGAAAAGCAUCCCAGGACACGCGUCAUGAAGAUAAAACCACAUAAACCCCCAACCUCAGACCAUAACGCUCCUCACCCAUCAAGAACCACCACACUCUUUUCUUAGUCUUUCUUUGAUUCUGCUUAAUAACACUGCCUCUACCUUUCCAUGACCCGUCCCGAAAUGCGUUUCUGGGACAAAAGCUGACACACCUACUUCAUGGGGGUUGUGGGGGGCGAGCUGAGGUCUCCACUUCCUUUCUGAAGGAGUCCUCUUCCCCUGACAGAACUCUGUUGACCAGGGCUCGGGUCCUGGCUUUACCGUCAACCACCUGUGCUGACUGAGGGGGUGGGGGGGUGGAACCCUCCAGAGCGCUAGAGUCUGCCUUCUAAACAGAGCCAGAGUGGUGCCUUAGGUCCAAGGGUUGCUGGCGAAGCUCAGCCAGAUUAGGAUUUGACACUGAGUCAGCAGAUAAAUCCGUAUUAUCAACUCCAUGCAGUUCUCCCUGUUCAGUGCCAUGAGUGCCACAGAAAGUUCCAGGUCUUCAGUUGAUAACUCGCUAGUUGAUUUUAUUGAUAGCUUGUUUACUUAGGUAAGCACUGGGGAUGUUUGCCAGAAAAGCUCAGGAACUACAACAUCAAACCCAGCUGACUGGAAGUUAAUAUAUAUUCAUUUAUUCAACAAAUACACAUCAGGUGGCAAGUAGGUGCCAGGUCCUGGGAAACAGGUCUGAUUGGGAUGGAAUUUCCCUUCCACCACAAACGAUAAAAACAAGAACCAAAGUGGGAAAAUCUAGCCGGGAGUCAGCUAAAGUUAAAAUCACUGGGCAAAGAGUUAGAAAAGAAAGGAUUGGGAAGCUCGCUGCCUCCGUUCAUCGGGAGAAACACACUUUUUGGUUUUGUUUCACUGGUUUCAAGAUUUUCUGACUGGGCGUGGUGGUGCACGCCUGUAAUCCUAGCAUGGGGUAGGAUGAGGCAGGACGAUCCUGUGAGUUCGAGACCAGCCUGGGCUACAUAGUAAGUUCCAGGUCAGUCUCAACUACAUAGUGAGACCCUGUCUCAAAAAACAAAAACAAAACUAGAAUUUCUCAUGGAAGAAGUACUCCAGUGAGGAGCUUUUGGACAACACAAUGAGUGAUUUCAAUAUCAAUUUUUUUCUUUUUCCCAGCAUUUUAUAAUAAAUAUCCUCAAAUAUGCACUUAGAAAAGCAAAAAGAAUGUGCACAUCACAUCUCCAACCUCCUCGAACCUAUCAUGAGUAUUUUGCUGCACGAACUGCAUUUUUUAACAGGAAGUCUCUCCCUGGGCCGUUUUCAAGCUCCGUUAGACUUUUGCUAAGGACGCAGCUGCUGCAGGUCCUCCAGGACGGGAGGGUGGGCUGGGGCCAUGGUGGGGAAGAGGGAAUCGAGCCCGGAGUGUAGCUGUCCCGGAAUCUGCCAGGGUAGGGAUGGGGUAAGAGCCAGGGAGGAAAAAUAUCGAAAACCAAAACUCUUGCGAAACAAGUCUGGCCCACUGCUGGGCCCGCGCUCUUACUGUGUGGUCUCGGCCGGCGAAUUUGAGAACCCGACUCUGGUGGCUGCGUUUGGCCGGAAGUCUAGGGAUCGUCUUUCUCUCGCUCUGUCCUGCAAGGGUAAGAAAAGGCAGCGAUGGCGCCCGCCCCGCUGCCCAGGAACGCGAAUGACAGCCCAGAGCAGCUCGGGUCGGGCGUGCG
RNAcentral lists this long non-coding RNA (5489 nucleotides) under Fukomys damarensis (Damara mole-rat). RNAcentral's name for it is "lncRNA (ENSFDAG00000030140.1)". The record is from RNAcentral. Lineage: Eukaryota; Metazoa; Chordata; Mammalia; Rodentia; Bathyergidae.